Molecule: non-coding RNA, 465 nt
Organism: Taeniopygia guttata (zebra finch)
Lineage: Eukaryota; Metazoa; Chordata; Aves; Passeriformes; Estrildidae
Source: RefSeq, a predicted model, not a curated record
CAACUUGAACACGAUCUGCGGAAUGUAUAGAACAAGAAGCACUGAGAUUCAGAAUGGAGUGAUUUCUUUAACCAGUCAUUUUCACAUUAACCAGUGGACUGAACUCUUCCAUGAACUCUGCGGCUCUGAGCAGACACUGCAGAAGUGGUAACAGCUGAAGUUACCAACGAAUGGGGUUCUGCCCAUGAAGUUUGAAUGAUUAGCAGUAACAAUUUCAGAGGGGUCCUUUCACCCUCAAGAGAGCACCAUCUGUGUAACAGUAGUCUGUAGUCUGUAUAUUAUAUGUAACAUAGAGGAUCCUGCAAAUUCUCUCAGGCAGCUGACAGAGUCAACAUGCAGAGCUUCUCACACAGACAUGUUUGUACCCGUCUCUAUGUGUGGCUCUGCACCCUACAAUAAACACAACUGUUUAUUUCAGUAAUUAUACUUUGAAAUAAACGCCCACAGUGUGCUUAAUUUUAAUGA